AAGCUCAAUCUGUCCAGCACCCUACCUUCUCCCACCGUGUUGAGAAACACGGUGGGUCCGGCGAGAGUUUGAGAACGUGAUUCUGAAACGGGCAUGCUCCCCGGAAUACCAGGGAGCGCAAUGUGCGUUCAAAGAUUCGAUGAUUCACUGAAUUCUGCAAUUCACACUACUUAUCGCAUUUCGCUGCGUUCUUCAUCGAUGCUUCACAGACUAUAC
This 216-nucleotide unclassified non-coding RNA is filed under the name uncultured fungus. Its description in RNAcentral is "sequence contains ITS1". Lineage: Eukaryota; Fungi. The record is from RNAcentral.